Molecule: ribosomal RNA, 909 nt
Filed under: Saccharomyces cerevisiae (brewer's yeast)
Lineage: Eukaryota; Fungi; Ascomycota; Saccharomycetes; Saccharomycetales; Saccharomycetaceae
Description: LSU rRNA
Rfam family: Eukaryotic large subunit ribosomal RNA
Source: RNAcentral
AGCAUAUCAAUAAGCGGAGGAAAAGAAACCAACCGGGAUUGCCUUAGUAACGGCGAAGUGAAGCGGCAAAAGCUCAAAUUUGAAAUCUGGUACCUUCGGUGCCCGAGUUGUAAUUUGGAGAGGGCAACUUUGGGGCCGUUCCUUGUCUAUGUUCCUUGGAACAGGACGUCAUAGAGGGUGAGAAUCCCGUGUGGCGAGGAGUGCGGUUCUUUGUAAAGUGCCUUCGAAGAGUCGAGUUGUUUGGGAAUGCAGCUCUAAGUGGGUGGUAAAUUCCAUCUAAAGCUAAAUAUUGGCGAGAGACCGAUAGCGAACAAGUACAGUGAUGGAAAGAUGAAAAGAACUUUGAAAAGAGAGUGAAAAAGUACGUGAAAUUGUUGAAAGGGAAGGGCAUUUGAUCAGACAUGGUGUUUUGUGCCCUCUGCUCCUUGUGGGUAGGGGAAUCUCGCAUUUCACUGGGCCAGCAUCAGUUUUGGUGGCAGGAUAAAUCCAUAGGAAUGUAGCUUGCCUCGGUAAGUAUUAUAGCCUGUGGGAAUACUGCCAGCUGGGACUGAGGACUGCGACGUAAGUCAAGGAUGCUGGCAUAAUGGUUAUAUGCCGCCCGUCUUGAAACACGGACCAAGGAGUCUAACGUCUAUGCGAGUGUUUGGGUGUAAAACCCAUACGCGUAAUGAAAGUGAACGUAGGUUGGGGCCUCGCAAGAGGUGCACAAUCGACCGAUCCUGAUGUCUUCGGAUGGAUUUGAGUAAGAGCAUAGCUGUUGGGACCCGAAAGAUGGUGAACUAUGCCUGAAUAGGGUGAAGCCAGAGGAAACUCUGGUGGAGGCUCGUAGCGGUUCUGACGUGCAAAUCGAUCGUCGAAUUUGGGUAUAGGGGCGAAAGACUAAUCGAACCAUCUAGUAGCUGGUUCUGC